AUAUCAACUAGCCAAAUUCCCCAAAUGUCAGUUUCUAAUCAAUUAAAAAAACUCGUUAUAUGCCGUGUGAAAGUGUGACACUCAUUCUCAAAUCGACAGAUGCAAAAAUCAGUGAAGGUUCUUUUCUUGCUCAUAAGGCACUACUUUGGUUUUUCUAAUCUCAAAGAUAGGAAUUAAUAUUGACAAUGGCAUAGAAGUGUAUUUGGGACAUUAUUACAACAGCUCUAAGUGUUAAGCAAAUUAAAGGACUAAGAUAGCAAAUAUGUGUACGUAAGUGUUAGGAUUCGUCCGCAUUGGGACUUAUCUAAAAUAUUUCUAAUUCAUAUGGGAUAAGAAAUAAAUAGUUAUAAUUAUCUGUUAUAUUCCUAGUCCACUUGGGAUAAGGAAUAAAUCUAACAGAUAAAUCCUAAUCUGUUUAAAUCUCUAUCUAUGUGGGAUUUAGUUAGAAUACGAUUAGAAUUAAUGUCUCCCUUAUGGCCUAUAAAUACAUGAUGUAUUGACCACAUACUAUAUACGAAAAAAAUUAGAAUCAUCUCUCCACAAAAUUCUCUUUUGGGUUCGCUCUAGGGCACCAUCAUAAACCCUAGGGAUUUGGGCGGUGUGCAGCGAUCGACUCUAGUAGCCGGAUUGCAACGAGUAAGAACAACGCGCAACAAAUUGAGACAGGAUGUUGGCGGAUCAACGAGUUCGUAAAAUAAGACGAGAUUUGAUCCUGGUAAUCUUAAUACAUUCCGCAAGAAAGAGGUAUGUAAAAAUCUAUGUGAUUUUUGCGAACUAUUUAUUUCGAUAUUUAAUUAUUUUAUCCAACAGUAAGAAAUAAGCAAACUGGUUCAAGAUGUGUUUAAGGAGCAAAUAACAGAACAUGGAAUACUUACAAAUGUGUAAUUUUUCUUCAUUUUUACACUAGAACACAAGCAUGUGACACCCCAAUAAUCCCACAUCAGAUGGGAAUGGGAUUGUCAUUGGGUUUAUAAGAGACUUAGACACUAGUAAUAAUAACUGGGCUUAAGCAUUUUGGGCCGGUAGUUUGGGCCCAACGAGUUAUUGUUGCUAGUGGGUUGGGUCGUUAUAUUUGGUAUCAGAGCCGGUUCACCAGCUGGACAUGUGUGGUGAGUCUCGGCUGAGCCAGGGUUUGGAUGAUGGGCUAGUGAGACGAGUCUCACAUCGCCGGUGAUCUUGGGCUGUGUGUGUGAUUGGACUGACGAGGACGUCAGGGCCUUUAACGGGGGGAGUCUGUGACACCCAAAUAAUCCCACAUCGGAUGGGAAUGGGGUUGUCAUUGGGUUUAUAAGAGACUUAGACACUAGUAAUAAUAACUGGGCUUAAGCAUUUUAGGCCGGUGGUUUGGGCCCAACGAGGUAUUGUUGCUAGUGGGUUGGGUCAUUACAAAGCAUGACCAAUAUGAGAAAUGAAAAAUAGAAGUUCUAGUUAAUGUAAGUUAUAUCGAACUGUCAAAUAUAUAAGGUAUAGUACAAAAGCAAGAAAAGGAAAGGGAUUGGAUUUGAUGCAGUGGAAAAAAAACUUAAUUAGCACAGAUAUACAAGGAUAGAAAUGAACAACAGGGUUACAAGGAAAGAUGUGGCUUACUUUUGAGGCAUCAAGAACCAUCAGCACAAUGUCUUAUGACUUUGAAACAGCAAUAACCUGAAAGGGAGAGCUAUGAUCAGAUUGCAACACAAAGGAUGAAAUUAAAAUUAAGGCAAAUUCUAGGGACGAAACUAAAAUAGGGGUCAAACUUCAAGGACUAGCUUAGACUCUUGGGAUUGUACAGAAAAAGG
RNAcentral lists this long non-coding RNA (1778 nucleotides) under Ananas comosus (pineapple). Its description in RNAcentral is "long non-coding RNA (ACOM_LNC039283)". Lineage: Eukaryota; Viridiplantae; Streptophyta; Magnoliopsida; Poales; Bromeliaceae. The record is from RNAcentral.